RNAcentral lists this small RNA (420 nucleotides) under Pan troglodytes (chimpanzee). Its description in RNAcentral is "processed transcript". The record is from RNAcentral. Lineage: Eukaryota; Metazoa; Chordata; Mammalia; Primates; Hominidae.
ACAGCAGAAAGCAAAAAUGUCCCAUUGGAACGAGAAGCCACUAGUAAAAAUGACCAAGAUAACUGUCCUGUGAAACCCUGUUACCUCAAUAUCUUGGAAGAUGAGCAACCUUUAAAUAGUGCUGCCCAUAAGGACUCACCUCCUACUGUUGAUUCAACUCAACAGCCUAACCCUUUGCCGUUACGUUUACCUGAAAUGGAACCCUUAGUGCCUAGAGUCAAAGAAGUUAAAUCUGCUCAGGAAACUCCUGAAAGCUCUCUGGCUGGAAGUCCUGAUACUGAAUCUCCAGUGUUAGUGAAUGACUAUAUUUGUCUUUCACAGUUUGGUGUCAGAGUAGGAUUCGAAAGACAGAGUAGGAUUUGAAAGAGACCCCCUGUGGCCUCUGGAAGCAUCGAGGAACCAGGCAAAAGGUGUCCAUUG